This 253-nucleotide ribosomal RNA is filed under the name uncultured bacterium. RNAcentral's name for it is "partial 16S ribosomal RNA". It matches the Rfam family "Bacterial small subunit ribosomal RNA", at positions 524 to 776 of the family's 1533-position model. The record is from RNAcentral.
UACGGGGGGGGCAAGCGUUGUUCGGAAUUACUGGGCGUAAAGGGCUCGUAGGUGGCCCACUAAGUCAGACGUGAAAUCCCUCGGCUUAACCGGGGAACUGCGUCUGAUACUGGAUGGCUAGAGUUUGGGAGAGGGAUGCGGAAUUCCAGGUGUAGCGGUGAAAUGCGUAGAUAUCUGGAGGAACACCGGUGGCGAAGGCGGCAUCCUGGACCAACACUGACGCUGAGGAGCGAAAGCCAGGGGAGCAAACGGG